RNAcentral lists this ribosomal RNA (497 nucleotides) under uncultured bacterium. Its description in RNAcentral is "partial 16S ribosomal RNA". It matches the Rfam family "Bacterial small subunit ribosomal RNA", at positions 28 to 507 of the family's 1533-position model. The record is from RNAcentral.
GAUGAACGCUGGCGGCGUGCCUAAUACAUGCAAGUCGAGCGAACGGACGAGAAGCUUGCUUCUCUGAUGUUAGCGGCGGACAGGCGAGUAACACGUGGAUAACCUACCUAUAAGACUGGGAUAACUUCGGGAAACCGGAGCUAAUACCGGAUAAUAUUUUGAACCGCAUGGUUCAAAAGUGAAAGACGGUCUUGCUGUCACUGAUAGAUGGAUCCGCGCUGCAUUAGCUAGUUGGUAAGGUAACGGCUUACCAAGGCAACGAUGCAUAGCCGACCUGAGAGGGUGACCGGACACACUGGAACUGAGACACGGUCCAGACUCCUACGGGAGGCAGCAGUAGGGAAUCUUCCGCAAUGGGCGAAAGCCUGACGGAGCAACGCCGCGUGAGUGAUGAAGGUCUUCGGAUCGUAAAACUCUGUUAUUAGGGAAGAACAUAUGUGUAAGUAACUGUGCACAUCUUGACGGUACCUAAUCAGAAAGCCACGGCUAACUACGCG